RNAcentral lists this small RNA (133 nucleotides) under Vibrio alginolyticus. RNAcentral describes it as "CpoB/ybgF ICR thermometer". The record is from RNAcentral. RNAcentral also lists the same sequence under 1 other name. Lineage: Bacteria; Pseudomonadati; Pseudomonadota; Gammaproteobacteria; Vibrionales; Vibrionaceae.
CAAAUCUCAAUCGUUAGCUACGGUGAAGAGAAGCCACUUCUUCUAGGUCAAUCAGAUGAAGUUUACGCUAAGAACCGUCGCGCGGUUCUAGUAUACUAAUUCGAGGUAAUCCUCAUGUUCAGUAACACUAAGC